This 458-nucleotide ribosomal RNA is filed under the name uncultured bacterium. Its description in RNAcentral is "partial 16S ribosomal RNA". It matches the Rfam family "Bacterial small subunit ribosomal RNA", at positions 28 to 507 of the family's 1533-position model. The record is from RNAcentral.
GGUGAACGCUGGCGGCGUGCUUAAGACAUGCAAGUCGAACGGGCUCUUCGGAGCCAGUGGCGCACGGGUGAGUAACGCGUAACUGACCUACCCCAAAGUCGCGGAUAACGAUUCGAAAGAAUCGCUAAUACGUGAUGUGCUGUCAGAUCCUGUUCUGCCAGUAAAGAUUUAUUGCUUUGGGAUGGGGUUGCGUUCCAUCAGCUAGUUGGUGGGGUAAAGGCCCACUAAGGCGACGACGGAUCGCCGGCCUGAGAGGGUGGCCGGCCACAGGGGCACUGAGACACGGGUCCCACUCCUACGGGAGGCAGCAGUUAGGAAUCUUCCACAAUGGGCGAAAGCCUGAUGGAGCGACGCCGCGUGAGGGAUGAAGGGCUUCGGAUCGUAAACCUCUGAAUCAGGGACGAAAGACGCGAAAGCGGGAUGACGGUACCUGAGUAAUAGCACCGGCUAACUCCGUG